GCCAACUGUACUGCAAGGCGACCACUACCCGCGGGACCGUGAGGAAGCCUUGUCAGCCGAGUCGCAUGCAAAGUUCCACAAGC
Molecule: ribosomal RNA, 83 nt
Filed under: Pyramimonas parkeae
Lineage: Eukaryota; Viridiplantae; Chlorophyta; Pyramimonadophyceae; Pyramimonadales; Pyramimonadaceae
Description: partial Eukaryotic large subunit ribosomal RNA
Source: RNAcentral